UCGGGAAUCAUUCGCAAUGGGCGAAAGCCUGACCCAGCAACGCCGCGUGAAGGAUGAAGUAUUUCGGUAUGUAAACUUCGAAAGAAUAGGAAGAAUAAAUGACGGUACUAUUUAUAAGGUCCGGCUAACUACGUGCCAGCAGCCGCGGUAAUACGUAGGGACCAAGCGUUGUUCGGAUUUAUUGGGCGUAAAGGGCGCGUAGGCGGCAAUUCAAGUCAUCUGUGAAAUCUCCGGGCUUAACUCGGAACGGUCAGAUGAUACUGCUUUGCUAGAGUGCAGAAGGGGCAAUCGGAAUUCUUGGUGUAGCGGUGAAAUGCGUAGAUAUCAAGAGGAACACCUGAGGUGAAGACGGGUUGCUGGGCUGACACUGACGCUGAGGCGCGAAAGCCAGGGGAGCAAACGGGAUUAGAUACCCGAGUAGUCCCUGAGCGGGCUGGCAAGGCGCAU
Molecule: ribosomal RNA, 447 nt
Filed under: uncultured bacterium
Lineage: Bacteria
Description: bacterial SSU rRNA
Rfam family: Bacterial small subunit ribosomal RNA
Source: RNAcentral